UACUAGAGUAGCACUCGCAUAUCAAUAAGCGGAGGAAAAGAAACUAACAAGGAUUCCCCUAGUAACGGCGAGUGAAGCGGGAAGAGCUCAAAUUUGAAAUCUUAAAGGGUUUCCCUUUACGAAUUGUAGUUUAAAGAAGUGUUUUCUGUUGAGGUUUUGGUAAAAGUUCUUUGGAAUAGGACAUCAUAGAGGGUGAGAAUCCCGUAUUUGACCUUUACUUUCAACUUUGUGAUACACUUUCAAAGAGUCGGAUUGUUUGGGAAUGCAGUCCAAAAUGGGUGGUGAAUUUCAUCUAAAGCUAAAUAUUGGCGAGAGACCGAUAGCGAACAAGUACCGUGAGGGAAAGAUGAAAAGAACUUUGAAAAGAGAGUUAAACAGUACGUGAAGUUGUCAAAAGGGAAGCGUUUGACACCAGUGUUGUUUUUCUGAAAAUCAAUUAAAGAACUGUUUAUGCUAAGUUGUUUAGACUUUAUCAGCUAUCUGUUUAGUUUUGAGCUUUUCUUUAAUGCACUUUUCAGUUAACAAGUCAACAUCAAUUUCUUUUGCUGUAAAAAAGCUUGAGGAAGGUGGCUUGAGAUUCGUCUUAAGUGUUUAUAGCCUCUUGCCUAUGCAGUCGGAGAGAUUGAGGUCUGCAGCGUAGAUCCUUCGGGGCUAAAUGCAUUUGUGCUAAGUUAUAGCAUUUUAUAGACAACUUGUUGACUAUGAUUUGUCUUGUAGCUUACUCGCUUAUGUUAUUUUACCUACGCUUAGGAUGUUGAGCGCAUGUCUCUCUCU
This 774-nucleotide ribosomal RNA is filed under the name uncultured Neocallimastigales. Its description in RNAcentral is "partial large subunit ribosomal RNA". It matches the Rfam family "Eukaryotic large subunit ribosomal RNA", at positions 20 to 616 of the family's 3401-position model. The record is from RNAcentral. Lineage: Eukaryota; Fungi; Neocallimastigomycota; Neocallimastigomycetes; Neocallimastigales.